GACGAACGCUGGCGGCGUGCUUAACACAUGCAAGUCGAACGGAAAGGCCCCUUCGGGGGUACUCGAGUGGCGAACAGGUGAGUAACACGUGAGUAACCUGCCCUUGACUUCGGGAUAACUUCAGGAAACUGGGGCUAAUACCGGAUAGGAAUCCUUGCCGCAUGGUGGGGGUUGGAAAGCUUCGGCGGUUUUGGAUGGACUCGCGGCUUAUCAGCUUGUUGGUGGGGUAGUGGCUUACCAAGGCUUUGACGGGUAGCCGGCCUGAGAGGGCGACCGGCCACAUUGGGACUGAGAUACGGCCCAGACUCCUACGGGAGGCAGCAGUGGGGAAUAUUGCACAAUGGGCGGAAGCCUGAUGCAGCAACGCCGCGUGCGGGAUGACGGCCUUCGGGUUGUAAACCGCUUUCAGCAGGGGCGAAGCUUGUGGUGACGGUACCUGCAGAAGAAGCACCGGCUAACUACGUG
This 465-nucleotide ribosomal RNA is filed under the name uncultured bacterium. Its description in RNAcentral is "partial 16S ribosomal RNA". It matches the Rfam family "Bacterial small subunit ribosomal RNA", at positions 28 to 507 of the family's 1533-position model. The record is from RNAcentral.